Molecule: ribosomal RNA, 468 nt
Filed under: uncultured bacterium
Lineage: Bacteria
Description: partial 16S ribosomal RNA
Rfam family: Bacterial small subunit ribosomal RNA
Source: RNAcentral
GACGAACGCUGGCGGCGUGCUUAACACAUGCAAGUCGAACGGAAAGGCCCUGCUUUUGUGGGGUGCUCGAGUGGCGAACGGGUGAGUAACACGUGAGUAACCUGCCCUUGACUUUGGGAUAACUUCAGGAAACUGGGGCUAAUACCGGAUAGGAGCUCCUGCUGCAUGGUGGGGGUUGGAAAGUUUCGGCGGUUGGGGAUGGACUCGCGGCUUAUCAGCUUGUUGGUGGGGUAGUGGCUUACCAAGGCUUUGACGGGUAGCCGGCCUGAGAGGGUGACCGGGCACCAUGGGACUGCGGGAGGGACCAGAAUGCUACGGGAGGCAGCAGUGGGGAAUAUUGCACAAUGGGCGGAAGCCUGAUGCAGCAACGCCGCGUGCGGGAUGACGGCCUUCGGGUUGUAAACCGCUUUCGCCUGUGACGAAGCGUGAGUGACGGUAAUGGGUAAAGAAGCACCGGCUAACUACGUG